UUCCUGCACCAUUUUGUGUCUUCCUGCAGCAGCAGGGAGGGACAUAGGUCAUUUCCAAAUACGUUUCUUGGACGAGCUUCUUGAUAUUAAACAUGCCCAGACGAUUGUGGGUCUUGUAUUCCAUAUGUACUCAUUUGGAUGUUGUGGUGCUUUCUUCACUGUGUGUAGGUACCAAGGCUGCAUUUGGAAAGCCAUGUUUCACUAUAUCAGUGUGUGUGUGGACUCAUAUCAGUAUGCCUUUUAUACCUGCAACAAAGAGUGUAGAAAACUUGGCUAGGACUGGUACAAAGGCGAUUGCAAGAAGGAGAAUGGUGGCAUAUAAUGCUGUCUUCCUCCCUCCCUAAAGUGGUAGUCAUGCUAUACACUAUCAUGUUAUAUAAAAUCAUUGCAAGUAAUUUCAAUAAACUUUACUGGUAGUUGC
This 421-nucleotide long non-coding RNA is filed under the name Triticum aestivum (bread wheat). Its description in RNAcentral is "long non-coding RNA (TAES_LNC019664)". The record is from RNAcentral. Lineage: Eukaryota; Viridiplantae; Streptophyta; Magnoliopsida; Poales; Poaceae.